GCUGGACACAGUGGCACUCAUCUGUUGUCCAAGCUACUUGGGAGGCUGAGGCAAGAGGACUGCUUGAGCCUGGAAGUUUGAGGCAAGUCUAGGCAACAUAGCAAGACUUCCAUCAC
This 116-nucleotide small RNA is filed under the name Marmota monax (woodchuck). Lineage: Eukaryota; Metazoa; Chordata; Mammalia; Rodentia; Sciuridae. The record is from RNAcentral.